CCGGCUAAAGAAAUUCCGGGGGUGG
Molecule: non-coding RNA, 25 nt
Filed under: Rattus norvegicus (Norway rat)
Lineage: Eukaryota; Metazoa; Chordata; Mammalia; Rodentia; Muridae
Source: RNAcentral